Molecule: long non-coding RNA, 269 nt
Filed under: Oryza brachyantha (malo sina)
Lineage: Eukaryota; Viridiplantae; Streptophyta; Magnoliopsida; Poales; Poaceae
Description: long non-coding RNA (OBRA_LNC002812)
Source: RNAcentral
AUAGCAUAUUUCUUAUUCUACUUUCUAUAUAAUUUUGUGCUAUUUUUCUGAUUUUUUUUUGAAUUUUUUACCCUUAGAUUUCACUCUUCAUGGUUUUGUCAAGAAAUCACACGGUUUUUGCCGACAUACCAGCUUAUGAAUUCAAAAUUUUCAAAUCUAUCCUGGUGGUCAUCAACUCCGUCCGAUCAAAUCUACGAGAUAAUGAACAACACGAUGAAAGAUGGCGCGACACGCCUACACUGUGAUGGCUUCCAUGAAUCAGCAAAGAC